RNAcentral lists this ribosomal RNA (1676 nucleotides) under Propionibacterium sp. HMSC069G10. RNAcentral describes it as "bacterial LSU rRNA". It matches the Rfam family "Bacterial large subunit ribosomal RNA", at positions 1374 to 2925 of the family's 2925-position model. The record is from RNAcentral. Lineage: Bacteria; Bacillati; Actinomycetota; Actinomycetes; Propionibacteriales; Propionibacteriaceae.
CCUGGGUGAGUCGGGUCCUAAGGCGAGGCCGACAGGCGUAGUCGAUGGGUAACCAGUUGAUAUUCUGGUACCGGCUUGUCACCGUCCGUGUCGAGGUGUGUGAUGCUAAGCAUGUGAGCUUGUCUUGGGAGUGUUUUUGAUGCUUCUGGGGUGGGUGAGUGUGUGAACCGAUCAUGUAGUAGGCAAGCUGCGGAGGGACGCAGUGAGGUAGCUCAUCCCCGGUGAUGGUUGUCCGGGGCUAAGUGUGUGGACUGUCUGGUAGGUAAAUCCGCUGGGCGUGAAGGUUGAGGCAUGAUGGGGAGCCCACGGUUGUGGGUGAGUGAGUGAUCCUGUACUGUCGAGAAAAGCUUCGUGAGCGAGGUGGCGGGUCCGCCCGUACCCUAAACCGACACUGGUGGAUAGGUAGAGUAUACCGAGGCGAUCGAGUGAAUCGUGGUGAAGGAACUCGGCAAAAUGCCCCCGUAACUUUGGGAUAAGGGGGACCUGAGCUGUCGUGCACCCGUGCGGUGUGGUGGCGGUGAGGGGCGCAGAGUCCAGGGGGAAACGACUGUUUACCAAAAACACAGGUCCGUGCGAAGUCGUAAGACGAUGUAUACGGACUGACUCCUGCCCGGUGCUGGAAGGUUAAGGGGAACUGUGAGUGUGAUGCGUAGCGGUGAACUUAAGCCCCAGUAAACGGCGGUGGUAACUAUAACCAUCCUAAGGUAGCGAAAUUCCUUGUCGGGUAAGUUCCGACCUGCACGAAUGGAGUAACGAUUUCCCUACUGUCUCCACCAUGAACUCGGUGAAAUUGCAUUACGAGUAAAGAUGCUCGUUACGCGCAGCAGGACGGAAAGACCCCGGGACCUUUACUAUAGUUUGGUAUUGGUGAUUGGGACGGUUUGUGUAGGAUAGGUGGGAGACGUUGAUGCGGCCACGCUAGUGGUGGUGGAGUCGUUGGUGAAAUACCACUCUGAUUGUUCUGGUUAUCUCACUGUGGACCGUGAUCCGGUUCAAGGACAGUGCCUGAUGGGUAGUUUGACUGGGGCGGUCGCCUCCUAAAGGGUAACGGAGGCGCCCAAAGGUUCCCUCAUCCUGGUUGGUAAUCAGGUGGUGAGUGUAAGUGCACAAGGGGGCUUGACUGUGAGACUGACAGGUCGAGCAGGGACGAAAGUCGGGACUAGUGAUCUGACGGUGGCUUGUGGAUGCGCCGUCACUCAACGGAUAAAAGGUACCCCGGGGAUAACAGGCUGAUCUUGCCCGAGCGCUCAUAGCGACGGCAUGGUUUGGCACCUCGAUGUCGGCUCGUCGCAUCCUGGGGCUGGAGUCGGUCCCAAGGGUUGGGCUGUUCGCCCAUUAAAGCGGCACGCGAGCUGGGUUCAGAACGUCGUGAGACAGUUCGGUCCCUAUCCGCUGCGCGCGGAGGAAUCUUGAGAAGGGCUGUCUUUAGUACGAGAGGACCGAGACGGACUGACCUCUGGUGUGCCAGUUGUUCUGCCAAGAGCAUGGCUGGUUGGCUACGUCGGGUUGUGAUAACCGCUGAAAGCAUCUAAGCGGGAAGCACGCUUCAAGAUAAGGGUUCCCACAGGUGAUCCUGGUAAGGUCCCCGAGAGAUGAUCGGGUUGAUAGGCCAGACGUGGACGCAUCGUAAGGUGUGGAGCUGACUGGUACUAAUAGACCGAGGACUUUCAUUAACA